Molecule: ribosomal RNA, 103 nt
Filed under: Hucho hucho (huchen)
Lineage: Eukaryota; Metazoa; Chordata; Actinopteri; Salmoniformes; Salmonidae
Source: RNAcentral
UAACAGCAGCAUACCACCCUGCAUCCUACUGCUGGCUUGCUUCUGAAGCUAAGCAGGGUUGGUCCUUGGAUGGGAGACCAGAUGCUGCUGGAAGUGGUGUUGG